CAUGCAAUCAUUAACAAAGAAAGAGGAGUUUCCGUCGGGUUAAUUCAGGAUGUAAUCAAACAAAAUUCGUUCAUUUUAUGCUUUGACCGAAACUUCGCUUUGUAUUCUAGGUGCUAGGACUGUGACUCAUACACUGCUCAUCAGCAUGGAGUGGGUUACGUGUGCUGAUUGGUCACAAAGCUGGAUGUUGGGGGGUUCUAGGAAGUGAGUGACAGUGACAUCCCAGUGAGAAGAGGUCGAUCAAGUGGGGACAUCUUAAAAGCCAAGUGUACCGCACACGUCCUGCAACCAUUGCUGAACUAACCAGGAGGAUUGAAGAGGAAGUCGCUGGCAUUCCUCUUGACUUGUUACGUCGAACAAUGCAGGCUGUCAGAAUGUGUACGGAGAAAUGGACAACUGCACCUUCAUGAUGUUUCUUUAAGACAUAAAAUAUUGAUUACCAUCAUUAGUU
Molecule: long non-coding RNA, 451 nt
Organism: Erpetoichthys calabaricus (reedfish)
Lineage: Eukaryota; Metazoa; Chordata; Cladistia; Polypteriformes; Polypteridae
Exons: 3
Source: RefSeq, a predicted model, not a curated record